Molecule: ribosomal RNA, 762 nt
Filed under: Papulosa amerospora
Lineage: Eukaryota; Fungi; Ascomycota; Sordariomycetes; Papulosaceae
Description: mitochondrial SSU rRNA
Rfam family: Bacterial small subunit ribosomal RNA
Source: RNAcentral
CUGGCAACUUGGAGGAAUGGCCUACUUAGGAUCAACCUAAGAAUAGAUUGAAAAGGUUAAAUCGAUUUUAAUCGAAUAAAAUUCUAAAUAUAUAAUUGAUAAUGACAAUAUGUAUUUAUGUCUUGACUAAUUACGUGCCAGCUGUCGCGGUAAUACGUAAGAGACUAGUGUUAUUCAUCUUUAAUAGGUUUAAAGGGUACUCAAGCGGUAAAAUUAGCCUAAAAAAGGGACAAUUUAUACUAGAGUUUAAUAUAAGAAGGUCGUACUUAUGGAGGAGAGAUGAUAUUUGUUGAUACUAUAGGGACUGGUGAAGGCGAAGGCAGCCUUUUAUGUAAAAACUGACGCUGAAGGACGAAGGCACAGAGCACGAACAGGAUUAGGUACCCUAGUAGUCUUUGCAGAGAAUGAUGAAUGUCAUAGAUUAGGUGUAAACUUAGUUUAUAAAUGAAAGUGUAAGCAUUUCACCUCAAGAGUAACGUGGCAACGCGGGAACUGAAAUCACUAGACCGUUUCUGACACCAGCAGUGAAGUAUGUUAUUUAAUUCGAUGAUCCACGAAAAACCUUACCACAAUUUGUAUAUAUUACAAGAGUUGCACGGCUGUUUUCAGUUAAUGUUGUGAAGUUAUGGCAAUGGCCAUGAAAUUAACAAAAACCCUUGCUUUAUUUAUAAAAAUUUUUUUGAUAAAGCUGUAUUGAACUUCUACAAAUAUAAUAAGUUCAAAUAAAAGGGACUAAGACAAGUCAUCAUGGCCCUAAUAUUG